Long non-coding RNA from Gallus gallus (chicken), 644 nucleotides. NCBI's taxonomy places the organism in Eukaryota, Metazoa, Chordata, Aves, Galliformes, Phasianidae. The record is from Ensembl.
AUUCUUCAAAGUCUUAUGCUGAGUUCAGUUUAUUAAAGCAGUACUGCAACUUGCUUAGAAAAGGAGCUGAAAAAACACAUUUAUUUUUUCUUUUCAGCUGUAUUGCUACCAAACUGUAUCCUGUCACAGAGAAAGCUGUUUUUCAGAGUUUCUCCUUGAAAACAAAGAUUGUCAGUUAAGGCCAACAGAAAGGAGCACCAUCAAAUGAUGAAAGAAGGGAGAAGUCUUAAUAGCAUGUCCCCAGACCACCUCUUUCACUCUGUGAUAACUUUCAGAGAAAAGAAAGAGAUUGCCUUCCCUCCAUCAUCUCAGAUGGAAGAAAGCAGAGCAGUCACCGUGAUGUGCUGCCCCAUCCUUGGACAAACUGAUCACCCAGGAGAAGGCGCUCUGUCCAUUUUUUAAGAAGAUGAAGUUUUCCAUUGCUCCACCACGGAGGUUCUUUUUGUGUCUCAUUAUUUCAGACCCUUUCCACUUCAUUAUAAAAACACCAUUCGCUAGACUGAAGGUAAGCAGUACAAUAGCACUUCAAGGCUGCACAAAUUAAUCAAUACAGCCUCUGCAGCUGAAGCAGAAGGCCAUCACGCCAGGGAGGUCUCAUUUCAAGAUGCUCUCCACCCUCCUAAUUAAGCACUGUAUAGCUCAUC